Podarcis lilfordi (Lilford's wall lizard) is the source of this 156-nucleotide non-coding RNA. NCBI's taxonomy places the organism in Eukaryota, Metazoa, Chordata, Lepidosauria, Squamata, Lacertidae. The record is from the annotation of a GenBank genome assembly.
UGUCCAGUAGCACCUUAGAGACCAACUAAGUUUGUUCUUGGUAUAAACUUUCAUGUGCAUGCACACUUCUGUUUCAGUGUAUCUGAAGAAGUGUGCAUGCACACGAAAGCUUAUACCAAGAACAAAUUUAGUUGGUCUCUAAGGUGCUACUGGACA